AAUUAAUUUCUUAAUAUGUUGUCAACCAAGACAAGAACUUUAUCUAUUUAACCUCGUUUUCAUUUCGAUUAUUUCUCACCCUCUCAACAUCUUCAAGCCCUUGCAUCUACAAUUUUCUUUUUUCAUUUUGUCCGGAAUAUUUUCUAUAAAAUUUAAAAUGUCACAUGUACGUGGGAGUAAAAGAAAUCCAUCAGCAGAGGAGCGUCCCGUAAUUUUGGCACUUGAAUAUAGAAAAUUCGAUGCAUCGAGCUCCGUUCGUCGACCUUCUAUACCUCGACCGAGGAUUCCUAAACACCCCUUUACUUCGUUCGCUGCUCAGUUGUCGCCUUUCAUUGUUACUAUAAAGACUGGAGAGGUUGCUUCCUUUAUUAAUUUUCUGACUCCUUUUCGUUUAUUUUGUGUGUGUUUUUUUUACAACAAAAAAUCUCUGCUAAAGUUGGUUGAUUGCUCGAAAAUGAAUGUGACCAAGACAUAAUUCAUGUUUAUCACCGUUUUCUACUAAAGUAUAAAAAUGAUUGGCUUUUAUUAAAAUUAUAGAAUUCUAUUUUAUUCAACUAUUUGCAUGUUUAUCUGUGUCUUGUUAUCUCCCCAUUCGUGUGCUUAUUGGUUUCAUUUGUCCACAUAUUCUGAUUUUUUAUUUUUGAUUUUUUAUUUUUGAUUUUUGAUUUUUGUUUUUUUGAUUUUUGAUUUUUGAUUUUUGAUUUUUGAUUUUUGAAUUUUUGUAUACAAGGUAGGGUACUUUUGCUUCUCUGUGUGGAUUUAAUUAUCUGUAUUAUUGUGAGACCUUAUGAUUUUAUUAGCUUUUAUAGUAAGUGAAUAAAUAGGAGUCCUUUUGGAUACGGCUGCAUUUAUUUGACUCUACCAUAUUUUGUGUGAAUAGAUCUAUCUUAUCAUAAUUAAAUCGACUAGGCGUCACAAAUUAGGGCACAAAACCAAUAAAAGGUAACACUCGUAUACAACUAUGUGACAGACCGGAAGUUGGAAUUUUGUCAAAACCAAUAAAAGAAAUUGAUUUUGUCAAAUUAUAUGUUAAUGUGGUGUUACUUUUAUCCGUUUUUGCACAACAUCGUGAUAGAUUAAUUUCAACCUUAAAUUUCAGCGUCUUAACUUCACAGAAGAUUUAUAAUAUAGUAAGUUAUAAUUGAACUCCGAGAGAAGAAAAAUUGUGAUAAAAGAAAUAAAAAUAAGACUAAUUACGUGGAUGGAAGUACGGGAAAAAGAAGAAAUCGAACACCACUAUGAUCGUUCAGUUGACGUAUAAGUAGUUAACUUGUUACAGUAAUCUGAUGUUCGAUUUGCUUUUACAACUCUUCUUUUUGUGUAUAAAUUUCUUUUAUUUCUUUUCUGCUUUUAGGACAUUGGAAAAAGGAUACGAGAUUUCUUUCAAGAGCGUAUCCACCCAAGGUGUGGCGCUUUGUCGGUCGAGGGAUGUAUAUACACUGUAUCAGGUGACAUAUCGAACCCGAGAAUCGAUAUAAAAGGCGUAGCAACGUAUUUUGAGGUAAACAUACUUACUUGGGAUUGAGUCGAGUGUUUAUUUUAUUACUUGUUUGACGGAAUAGUAUAGCAGAAUUUUACUCGAAUCGAACUAAUAAUAUGAUUAAAUUUUGUCAUUUAGUGGUAAUUUAUGCAGAUUUAGUAACUCCUCCGUGCAAAUAAUAUUAGUGUGUUUUAUCAUAUCUAAACGAAUAAUUAAAUUAUAUAGUUUUUUUUGUUAUACAUUAACUUACGAAACCAAUUUAUUGUUAUACUUGCAGGGUAAUUUUUCCAUAGCAACCCUCACAGGCCGUUUCGUAAUAUCAAAUAACGGACGUGUACAGCUGGACUAUUUGAAAGUCGGCUUUCAACCAGACGAUGUGCUCGUCUGCGGUACUACGAUUGGGCCUCUGAUAGCCGGCUGUGCUGUUCAGGUUAGCUUCUCUCGUACAACACGAUGUUCUUAAUUAAGAUAAAAUCAAACGAUUCGUCCUCCAUUAGAAUAACGAAUUAUCACUAUAUUCGUGUACAACAUUUUAUUUUAUUUUUUCAUUUCUUUUUAUCCAAAUAAUCCAAUUAAUCGUCAUUUAGUGGGGGUUAUUGUGCAGAGUUAGCAACAACUCUGUGCAAUUAAUAUUUGUGCAUUUUAUGUGAGACCAAAUAAUCGUAGAAUAGUUGUUAUUUAUGUUCGAACCGUAUUUUUAUUCCAUUUUUCUUGCUGUUUUCGCUAUAUUUGAUCACUAAUUAUGUUACAGUAUAUUUUCUAUUAAUUGAGAAAAUAGAAAAAAGAAAAAGAAAAAGAAGGAUGCAUUAUCCAACAUUUGAAUGUCAUUCCAAAAGAUUUUUUUUUUCAUUUUUCUUUGAAAUAUAUUUAAUUCAAUUGCAGGUAUAACUCGCAUUGAUUUUUUUUUUUUUUGCGCAGCCGUAACCCAACUAAUGUACAUUUAAAUGCAGGUCACUCUGGGUUAUGCCAGGUUGGAUAAAGGAGAAACGAGCACCGCUCCUCUUCAGUCACCACAGUGCACCUCUGAGGGCUUUGCCGUAAAUGAAAAUGCCCUUGUAAUAAUUUGAAAUGUUACCGAGGGUUUUAGAUUGGUUGGCUAUCUACAUUAGUAGAUUGUGAUAGCAUUACAUGAUUUCGAUUUCGGGACUCGAAUUUGAGUAUUAGUUUUUCCAUAAUAUCGAAACCUUUUUUUUUUCCGUUUCACAUAAGCUGCAUAAGUGUAAAUUUUUGCCAGCAUUAGUGCAUGUUUCUUCGAACCUUAUUAUGUAAUGUGAUCUUUGCAUUAGAAAGACUAAUGAAUCAAAUAGUGAAAAUGGCUAUAUACUCUUUUGGAUGAUUAUCGGUCAUAUAUAAGGUUUUAUUCGACAUAUUUUAUGUCGACAUUUAUCAGUUUUAUCGAAAUUACUGGAUUGUGAGUGCAUUACAUGAACACUAGAACACAUAGACUUCUACUGUAAACACUAAAUACCAUCUCUUCUAAUGAGGGUUGAUAGACAACAAUAAUUUAUAUAAGGGAAAAUUAUGCUCUUCGUCCCUUAGGUUUACAUAGAUUUCAUAUUUGGUCCUGUUAGUCCACAAAAAAAACAUAUUUAGUCUCUUCUGUUUCAUUAAUUCAACACAUAUGGUUAUUUUCCAUUAUUUACCAUUAAUCCGUCAAUUAAAUUGGAAGCGAAAAAAAUGUACCCAUUUAAUGCAAAACUAUGGCAUUGAACUCAAUAUAUUGGAGAUAUUAAUAUUAAAUGAUACAUUUCACUAAUAGCUUAAGCUUUUGGUUGAGAUGGUCAUUCAACAUGGUAUCAGAGUUAGGCCAAAUGAAAGGUCCUGAGUUUGAAUCCCACAGCCACCCAUUUAAAAAUAUUUCAAGUGCAAGGCUUCAAAUGUAAUUCGCCUGCACUUGAGGGGGCGUAUUGGAGAUAUUAUGUACGCCAUCCCAAAGUAGUUUCGGAAGCUGAAAACCAUUGAUUAAGAGCUGCAAAAAUGAAAAAAAAAAAAGUUUAAUUUUCGGCAUUUUUCGCUACCAACUUUGAAACUUCAAACAUCGUAAAUAAUCGGAGUUUAUAACUUACUUUUUUUCAUGUGUUUAUCAUUGUUCGUGUCUUUAUCAUUGUUCCCUCUCCAUUUCCUUUCGGGCAAAGAAUAAUCUUCCUACAUUUAGCGAAAUAAAGUAGUGUGUAACAAACAAUAUAAUUUGAAAGGAUACCAUAAAAAUAGUUGCAAGUUAAUAAGGGUUUAUUGCAAUUAGUACCCUGUAUUAUGUUGAAUUACCAAAAGAACUGCCUCAUGUUAUUCUUUUGUCAAGAACCCCCCUAUGAUUCAACUUUUUUUAAGCACACAAACCCUAAACAUAAGUACCAAUUGCUAAUAAAAAUCAGAGGGGAGUUUUUGUCGAUAAAAUAACAUGAGGUGAUUUUGUAGUAAUUUCGUUAUAACGCAGGGGACACUAAUUGCAAUAAACUCUAAUUAAUAACACUAAAAAUCGUUACCAUUUCUGGCCUCCAGCAAUUGCAGAAUUCCAUGUUUCUUCCAAUUUGGAGAAAUCUGAAAUCUUCAAAUCAUGCUUGUAACGAAUAUCGACAUUCUCCAAAGAUAAACAUUCAACGGCCACUUGUCUUUCGAUGACAAAAACCUCAGCACCAAACACACACGUAUCAUUAACUAGAUAUCCGUUUGAUGGAUCAGACAGAAUUUCCUUCGAAAUAAAUUUGAAAGGCUCCAUUCAAAUUUCAUUGCUCGGAAACGUCUUGUUAUUCCUAACAAAUAGUAUUUUAUAUAUAUGUAUAAAAUACACCUUGGCAAUUUAAUAAACUAAUCUAUAGGACAAAAAUUACUAAUUUACCAGGAAAAAAAAAAGAAAAAACAAAAGGAAAGAUAAAGAUAAGGGAAAAUUACAAUUUUUAUCGCUCAUAAAAGUCACAUUUGGUCAUUUCCGUCAAUGAACCGUUAGUUCGUCGGUUAAGGUAAUAAUGGGCACACACUCAAUUCCGUUAGUACUAAAUGAAAGUUGACGAAAAUUACUAAAGGUGUUGAAUUUUUGAAACAUGAGGGACUAAAUCUAUUUUAUUAUGAGCAAAGAUGACCAAAUAUGAAAUCGAGUUAAACUAAAGUGACGAAAAGUAUUUUUCCCUAAAGAUAAUAUAUACAGUAGAACAUCGCUAAAUUAAUAGUCAUAAAUUAACAACCUCUUUUAAAUAAUUGAUUCUUUUGGUCCCGGCUCGGUAAAAACCUACUGAAUUAUUAGUUCGAUAAUUUAAUAUUUUGAUAAACUAAUAGAAUUCUGCUAGUCCCGACUAUAUUAAUUUAUAGAAGUUUAACUGUAACUAGUGAAUAAAGAUAGUGACCUGAAAUCUUAUUAAAGAGAAAGAUGUUGAAAACAACAUUGACUCCCCAGUUUGUAGGCAGAGAGCUUGUAUCCGCCAUAUAUAGCCAAGUUUACAGAUAUAUAAUCACUAUCUUUUCCAUUAAAAUUUAAUAAACUUCAUGUACAAAUUCAAACAUCCUCCAUUACUUCUUCCUUUAUUUGGUUUAAGAGAGAGAGAGAGAGAGCGCGCGAGAGAGUACCACUUGUAUUCUCCAGCCAAAAAUUCGUUUGUUUCGUAUUUCAUAAUUCCAUACUUGUCGACAAGGAGAAGGAUUCGAUCUUGAUCAGAAAAUGCAUGUCAUUCCCUAUAAUUUUUUUAUUUUCGCACUUUACUCCUUCAAAAUUUAAGAAAGUAGAUCAAACAAAUUGCAUGUUACACUUGAUGCACAUUGCCCCAAUAGCAAAAUUCCAAUGGAUUAUUAAUCGGAACUGAGUGUUUUUUCUUUUUCAUGCUGACCCUUAAAAAUAUUAUUUUUUCACACAUUGCCCCUUUAAAAUGUUACUUUUGUUGCACCAUAUAUGCCCACCGGAAAUUAACUUUGGGAUAAAGUGCAACCAAAACAAUAUUUCGAGGGGGUUAUCUCUUUUCUCAAAUUUUAUGGGGGAAAGUGACAAAAUUAAAAAUUUAUAGGGGUGAGGGGGUGAAGUGUAUUUUGUCCAUAUAUAUAUAUAUAUAUAUAUAUAUAUAUAUAUAUAUAUAUAUAUAUAUAUAUAUAUAUAUAUAUAUAUAUAUAUAUAUAUAUAUAUAUAUAUAUAUAUAUAUAUAUAUAUAUAUAUAUAUAUAUAUAAGAGAGACACACACAAAGACAAAAAUACACUGAUCGGUAAAAAUAUAUAUUGUACCAUGUAAUUUAAGAAUUACUUUUAUGCAUUAUUAAUUUAUCUAGUAUACGGGGCUUCUUAAUAUUUUCGAAUGUGUAUUAUCUUAUAAAUUUAGCGAAUUGUUAAUUUAGCAUAUUUUCCCCGAGUCGGGACUGGAAAAAUUUAUUAUUUUAGCGAGGUUAUUAAUUUAUUAAGUACUAAUUUAUCGAGGUUCUUCUGUAUAUCAAAUUUUUGGUUAAUGUGAAAAACAGGAGUAUCUUAAUGUGGAAUUCCUCAUGUUUAUUUCAGAUUUAUAUAUUUGUUGAUCAGCCAUGUCAAUCGAUUCCCAUCUUCGUAGAAUUUGGGGUAAGGUUUUGGGAAUUAGAAGAUGGAAAACUGGGGGUUUUGUAGAAGAGGAAUUAAUGAUUUGUUAUAUGGAGAUAAGAGAGAGAUAGAGGAGAGAUAAUGAGGUGUCGUCCAACUCAUCUUCCAGCUCGAUUUUGACUGCCAAAUGGAAGUCACGUGACAAUUCUGUCCAACUUAAUUGGGAAAGUUAACGGCCGGACCAUAAGUGUCCAAAAAUGAUAAGUUUGAGGACUAAAUUCGUAGCGGCAAAACUUUGAGGACCAGAAUCGUUUUAGGUAGCAUGUUGUGAAUAUUUUCUAGGAGGAGUCCAAAUUUUGCAUGAUAUUUGAAGCAGGGGCAAGAAUUUUUGAGCGAUUUAGGGAUGAAAGCAUUGAAACAUAAAUUCACAGUCUCAUUACGUGAAGAAUACAAUAUGCAAGUUUUGACUUCAUAAUAGCCUCUUUUUGGGAGCUUAUUAAAUGAGUUAUCAAAUCUCUUAACUACUAUUUGACUCCUAAAAUUUAGAAAUUAUGUUCUCCAAUGGUGUUAUCAAAAUGGGUUAGUAUUUUGAUAUUUCAUCUCUUUGUAUCUAAAAAUACUUCCUGCAGAAUGAGUUACCAAAAAAUUAACCACCUAAUCAACCAUUCACAAAUUAACAUGUGGCAAUUACAAAGAAAAUCACCAAAAAACUUCCAAUUGAUAAUAAAAUUUGAUAACUAUAGUUGGAGUUGGUGAAUUUAAAUAUAUUUUAAAAUAUUAUCUCAAAUAUCAAAUGAGCAUUUGAUAAUUCAAUUUUGAUGUUUAGCAUUGGAGUUGCUCUUAUAAAUCAAAAUCAUCUGGUGAAUUUAUAAUAUUAUACAUUUUUUUUUGUAGUAAUUGUAAAUUUAGAUAUUUAUUAAAAACAUUAUAACUUUAUUUUACUUCGAUAAACGUACAAUUGCAACUAAAAAAAAAUCAUAAAACAUUUAACUAGACACGUGCAACGCAACGCAAGUGCAUCUUCCUAGUAUGCAUAAAAUAGAGAAAUAAGAUCGCGUACUGUUGGCAGAGAUGCUAGGAUUUAUGCUUGUUCUGCAGUACAAUUGUUUAUAUAUUUUCCAAUUUCGCAAAUAUGAAUUUGAUUAGGGAUAUAACUGACCGAUCUUGCUAUUGUCUAAGGACUAUUUGGUAAUUUCAAUUUGUAACUGGAUCGUAAAUUUUCUUGGAUUCUCCAAUCUUACCUCCUUAUGCGGGAUCCACAAUCUAUUAAACACCGGAUCUGAACCCAGGCUGGGGAUCCAUCUCGGAUCCAGAUAUUAUGUAUCAAUCUUCUCAAUUCCAAGAAACCAAAAUAACACUUAAAGGAUUCUAGAAGAUCUUGUAGAAUCCUCCUUGUAUAUAUUUGGUAGGAAAUCAUAGGAGAUACUCUUAGCCAUUAGAUCAAGAUGACCACCAACGAUUCUUAAGAAGGUAGAGUUAUAUAAAUAGGGGUAACACUAUUCAUUUUAAUCACCCAAGAAUCCAAACAAUAAAGUAUUCUAUAGCAAUCUCCAACACUUGUUCUUUCUUAAGAACUUGCAUACACCUCUGUGCACUUUUGAGUGAGGUUGUCUUAGCUUUUUUGCAAGGGGCGAAGUUCGAAUAGGCGCGAUGGGCAUUGAUUAGUGAUUAAGUGCCGUACACUACUUUGAUCGAGAUUCAAGUCCGUGACACCAGACAGUACUAUACUAAACAAAUAAUUAGCCCAAAACACAAUGACAUAAUUAUCAUCCCUAGUAUGAACAAAAUAUUCAAAAUAAAAAAUAAAAUCGAACUAGAUUAUGGUGUGCGAGCCCACCAUGAUUAUGGUGUGCGAGCCCAACAUCUGGUGGCACACGAUCCUUUAGCGGUGGUCAUACAGUGUGACAAACGCUUGCCUCACAAGCGUCGUGAAAAAAUAUUGUAAGCCAUUUAGGUCAUAAUUUAUCAAAAAAAAAAAAAAGAAUAAAAAAGUAAUAAAAAACAAAAAAUAAUAUAAUAAAAAAAUUCAAGACAACGAGAAAAUAUAGUCCACAACCCCAACCACAAUUGUUUUUUUUAAUUUUUUUAAUAAUUAUUUAAAUUGGGAGGGUUUUUUUUUUUCAAACUUAGAUCAAACGGUGUUAAGGUCAAAUGUGUGAAAACUAACUGCGAGAGCCACAUUGAGACAAUUUUUCAAAUACGGGGGGCAAAUCGAUGAAAUUGAGAGCAGAAGGGGUUAAAGUGAUAUCGAGCCAAAGUACAAGGGGGCAAAUCGAUGCAAUUGAGAGUAAAAUCAGGUAAAGUGAUAUCGCGCCAAAGUACAAGGGGGCAACUCGAUGCAAUUGAGAGUAAAAGGAGGUAAAGUGAUAUCAAGGAAAAGUACGAGGGGAGAAAGUGGAAUUUACCCUUAUAUUUAUGAAGUCACUCAAAUUAAACAAAACAAAUCAUUAAAUAGUUGAAAAAUAUAAAAUAUAUUUUACUCGUAUACGACGUCACACACCCACCAGACCGCGUAGUCUGCGCCACUGGAAACAAUUUGACCAUCAUCCGUUUUAAGACACGAGCAAUUAACAUGAACAUAUUAUCAUAAAAGCAUAUUCGUCGCCUCUCACAACUCUUGCAACAUGAUUCUCAUACGAUGACACAUAGGUAUGAGUGUUAGGUAUUUAGCCCCAACAAGUUUUUGGCGCCGUUGCCGGGCAAUACGGCUAAAUUAUCUAUUUAUUCUAAUAUCAAAUUUGAGCAAUUUUUCUUACUUCAGCCAUUUAAUUUUUAUUUUUAUUUUUAUUUUUAAUUUUGAUUUUUUUUUUUUUUUUUUUACAUGUCUGGUUACAAUGUCGGGGCACCUCAAACAGGAUAUGAAUGGCUUCCAUCUGACGAAUGUCUCCCAAACACCUAUGAUAUGCCUCCGUUUUGUUCCGCAUGUGGUGGAAAUCAUUAUUCCGAUCAAUGUUGGGGAUCACCAAAAGCGACAAAUUUCAUCGAAAUUACCAACGGAGGUUAUUGGAACACUUACAUCAACAACACAUACGAGCAAAGCUUUCAAGACCAAGAUUUGAACGAGUUUCAACAUAGAGAGCCACAAUUUGAUGAUUUUCAAAAUUAUUAUCCAAUGCAACAGCAGCAGACCACUGAUGAACAAGUUGAUUUGGUAUCCCUCAUUGCCGAAUUCACGAAGUCCACUCAAGCAUCAUUUCGAAACAUGGAGAUAAAACUGGAAGAGAUGACGCUCAAAUUAAAAUCUGAAUCUCUUGAAAAUAUUCCAGACAAAAUCGGCAAUAGCUAUAUCAAAGAAAAUUCGGGUGAAGCCUGCGGUGAGAAAAAUCUUCUAUGUCCGGAAAAUAGUGUCGAUGUGAGAGAAAUAGAAAUUACGAAGAAACUUGAGCAUGAUGAAUCUGAGAAGGCAAUCGAGCUAAACCACGAAGAUGCCUCAGAACAAGAGAAGAAGGAGAUGAAUGUAAUGAUUGAAGAUAUUCUAGUUGUGGCCUCUGUCGCUGAUCUAAAUGUGGAUUUGAAGGCAUCAAUAAAGGUUGAUGAGAAGACGAAUGUGUUUGAUGUGGAGGUUAUACGCGGAUGUGAGGUUUUUGUGUACCGAUUUGAGGGAGCGGGUGAUGAAGAUCCCAUCUUAGCUUCGUACCGAUUGAUUACAACCAAGAAAGACUACAAGCUAAGGUGGACCUUGAUAUAUUGCAAUGCUAUCCAUGUCUUGGUUGCAAUUGAAGUGAUAGAGCUCAUGGAUGGAUGCGCAAUCUACAAGGCUUUGGAUUGGACAUAACAGUUUUAAGAAGCAAAGUCUGGCUGAAGACUUAAAACUUAGCGCUUCUUGGGAGGCAACCCAAGCAUUUAUCGAUUUUCGUAUUUUUAUUUAUUUUUAUUUUUCUUAGGAUUUUAGCAUGCGCAAACUAAUAUUUUUUUUUUAGGUCGAAAAUCAAACACUAAGGGAUUGGACGUUAAAUGUGGAUUAAACGAACAUCAAAGAGUGCAUCCCGGAGAAGGACCUUCCGACUAAUCAGGUGUAUUCUAUCCUUGAACUUUGUUCUAAUUGCAUUGAGGAAAAAAAUUUAAGUUUGGGGCUGGAAAAUUACUUGUUUUUAUGUGCUUUAACUUUUUAGUUUGCAUGCCUUAGGAUUUUUUUUUCCGUUUAUUUAUUGUUUUCUUAAAAAAGAAUUGCUUGAGUCGAAUGCAUCGAUGAGUUAUAAUAAUGAGAGAUGAUCAAUGUUUGAUGAUGAGAUUGCUUGUUUUGUGUGAUAAUGAUUAGAUAUUUAUUUAGCUUUCGAUUCAACGGAACUUAGAAAUGAAUUAUUGCUAGGAAUCACACUUUGUGCAUUGUUUUGGUUGAAUGUUUUGUAUUUUAAAUUUGGAGUUAAUUUGUGUUAGAUCAUGCUAUGUUCGGUUUUAGACCUCACCUUAGGAAAUUUAUGAUACGAAGUAUUGAGUAGUGAGUGAUUUGGGAUAUGAUUUGGGCAUUCUUUGAUCCGUUUGAGCCUUUCAAGCCGACCUUUUUAUCGAAAUUUUCCUUAAAACCUUGAUUUGAGCCUCGGAGAAAAGGUGUUCUUUCUUUUAUCCAAUGUGUAUAAGGUUGAAUAGAUGGAGAUUCUUGAAAAAUUACCCCUUGGAGCUCGCUUGAAAUUUUUUAUAAAGUCCUUCUUCUCCUUCCCCGAAAAAAAAAAGAAAAAAGAAAAAAAAAGUGAGAGAGAGAGAAAAAAAAAUAGAGAAAAAAAAGAAGAAAAAUAUAUGUGUGUCUAUAUAUAUAUAAAAAAAGAAAAAGAAAAGAGAAGAAGAAGAAGAAGAAGAGACUAGAAGGGAGAACUAAGGACUAGUUGUGGAAUUAUUUUGAAAGCUCGAUCCACUGUCUUAAGAGCAAAAGUGGAGACUUUUGAACUCUUAAGAAUCGAGUUUAGUAAAGUCCUUAGAGGUGAAUUCAUUGUGUCAAACGCCUAUCUUUGAAAUUUUGGUGUAAUCACCUCAAUUCAAGAAGAAUAGCCACAUAUACCCAUAUUUCCUACCUCGAACCAAAAAGCCUAACAAUUGAAAGCCAAAAAGCCCCAAUGAUCCCAAUAGCUUAAAGUUCGAUAUUAGUAGAGUAAUAUAUUUUGGUGAGUAUUUGGAGUCAAACAUAUACAUGUAAGCAUAACUUUUUUCUAUCUUUAAUUUACAAAUAUUGGAUGCUUGAAGCAAUUGCAUGAUUUGUGGUUUUUGGCUAUGGUAAGUGACUAUGUGCUUUUGAAUUUCGAGCUUGCGAAUGCCUAAGAAUUUUCAUUAUAAUUACAAGUUCUGAAAACGUGAAGUUGGUCAUUAAUCUAUGUGAUGAGAUGCGGUAGUUGAGUUUUUUGCUUACGAUUAGAUUUUGCUUGAGGACAAGCAAAAGUUCAAGUUUGGGGGUGUGUUGAGUUUAGAUAUUACACUCAAUACGUUUACUUUACGUGGAUCUUUUGUUUAGAUUUAAUUAUAUUUGUGCUUUAAUUGAUUGAUUUUGUGUUUUAUAGGUAAAAAACGAGAAUUAGGUGUCCAUGAAGGAAAAAAGAUCAAAAAGAAAGGAAAAAAGUUGCAAAUAAGGAAACAAAUCAAAUUGGAAGAAGGAAUCCCGCCACAACUUUGACAGUGUCCACCAUUUCGAGCAUAUCUCUCUCAUACGAACUCCGAAUUAGGUGAUUUUGACGGCAUUGGAAAGCUAAUUUCAAGGGCUACAACUCUUAUUUACACAAUAUUCCAAAAUUAGGACUCCAACAUGGCACAAAUCGACGAACAAAUCCUGGUGGGGGAAAGUGACGGAAAUUGAUUCCUAUUAGGUUUCCACUACUUCCUUAUCAAGAAAAGCCUAUAAAAGCAACAAAUCUCUACACCAUAAGGACGAAAUUUUACACCACAAAACACGAAGAACGAAGAUCAACGAAGACUCAAGCAUAGUUUUUUCUUAUUUAUUUUAUUUAUUCUAUUUUGCUUAUCAUAAGAAUUACGAGUAGCUAAGUUUUUAAUCUAGGCAAACAAGUAGUAAAAGUGGACUCGUGAGAGUCGGAUGUCGAUCCCAUAGGGAAUACGUAAAUUAUCUAAUCCUAAGUACCAAAUUCUAACAACUAUGAUUUUUAUCCAGCCUACGCAAGUUUGUCGAAUUAAAUCAAUUAAACAAUUAAAAUAAUUAAGAAAGCAAAGAAUCACGAGAAAAUAUCAAUAUAAAACGGAUCUAGGAUUUUAUCUUCCCCCUAUGCAAGAAUUGCUCACCCAAAACCCCUCAAUUAUGAAAUAUAUGAUUCAUGAUUAUUAACCCGAGACACUAAUUUACUCAUAACCCGUUGUCGCGUGUAUUAUGAGUCUAUUAUUCAUAAACGAUUCACUAUAUGUCUAUGCAAACCAAUUAUAAAUAAAGCAUUAACUAACAAGUCUCGUAAAUGGCUACCUAAGGUGAUAUCUGUAUGUCUACGACACCACAUGCAAUUGACACACUCAUCCGGUGAAAACUACUCGAAGGUUCUUAUACUUACCGUCUAAUUAUCAAAAUAGCUCUGUCGAGUCAAUCCCAAUAAUCACAGAUAAAGCACAUAAAUUGAUCAAGUUCAUGCACUAACAAUCAUAACAAGUAUAAGAAAUAAUCAUAAAAUCAUAAUUGCAUAAUCUCAAGAAAACGGGUUCACCAUCCCCACACAGGGUUCCAACAAAAUCCUAGAUUAAAAACUUAGCUACUCGUAAUUCUUAUGAUAAGCAAAAUAGAAUAAAUAAAAUAAAUAAGAAAAAACUAUGCUUGAGUCUUCGUUGAUCUUCGUUCUUCGUGUUUUGUGGUGUAAAAAUUCGUCCUUAUGGUGUAGAGAUUUGUUGCUUUUAUAGGCUUUUCUUGAUAAGGAAGUAGUGGAAACCUAAUAGGAAUCAAUUUCCGUCACUUUCCCCCACCAGGAUUUGUUCGUCGAUUUGUGCCAUGUUGGAGUCCGAAUUUUGGAAUAUUGUGUAAAUAAGAAUUGUAGCCCUUGAAAUUAGCUUUCCAAUUCCGUCAAAAUCACCUAAUUCGGAGUUCGUAUGAGAGAGAUAUGCUCGAAAUGGUGGACACUGUCAAAGCUGUGGCGGGAUUCCUUCUUCCAAUUUGAUUUGUUUCCUUAUUUGCAACUUUUUUCCUUUCUUUUUGAUCUUUUUUCCUUCAUGGACACCUAAUUCUCGUUUUUUACCUAUAAAACACAAAAUCGAUCAAUUAAAGCACAAAUAUAAUUAAAUCUAAACAAAAGAUCCACGUAAAGUAAACGUAUUGAGUGUAAUAUCUACACUCAACAAUGAGCCAUUGCAAUUUCGAUUAUCUUGAACUUAAUAGAUGCUUGCAAUUUUAUUGAUCGCAGUAAUUUGACUUACGAAACUUUUAAUAGAUUCUUUUUUUUUCAGAUCUGAAAAUUGUAUUUUCAGAUUUGAACAGCUGCAGUAACAUGACUAUUGUCAUAGUCGAAUAUGACUAUAGUCAUAUUUAUGUAUUGUUUGAAUAUGAUUGUAGUCAUAUUCGAAUAUGACUAUGGUUAAAUACGACGGUAGUCAUAUUCGAAUAUGUUAUAUUUUCUCGUUUUGAAGUUGACUUCUAAUAACUAGAUUCAAAUUGUGAUUUUUUUUGUAGAUGUUGAUUGGAUUGUUUACGUAAACAUAAGGAACCUUCGUUGUUUUAUAUAAUUUGGUGAACAUAACUAUACCACACUAUAUAAUCGGAAUUGUUAAGUUGAAAAAGUGAAAAACUGCAAUAUAAAAAAUAAUAUGACUACAGUUAAUAUACUCACAUAUAGUCAUAUUCAACUAUAGUCAUAUUCGGCUUUUUAAAUCUGUCGAGAAAAGAAUUUCAAUUUUUUGUUUAAAAAAUAUUAAAAAAAAAAUUAAAAAUAUAUUUUAUUAAAAAAUAUUAAAAAAUAAAAAUAAAUAAAUAAUGGCUAAAUAAAAUUCGAAAAUAAUAAAAAAUAAGAAAUAAAAAAAUUAUUUUUUUUAUUUGGUAGCAAAUUUUUAGGGAUUUGGAAGCAGAUUUUAAGGAAGGAAUUAGAUUUAUUGUUAUGGAAAGUGAGAAAAAAGGAAUAAUUGAUAAUAAUUAUGUUAAUUGACAUAAGGGUAGAAUUGGGAAUAAAAUUUCUAGGGGUUAUACAAAGAAAGAUUUAAGGGGUGGACAUAUCACCAUUUCUUAUCUAUAUGAGAGGUUUAUUGCUAAUGACUCCAUAUAUUUUACUCGUAUACGAUGUCACACACCUACCAAGCCGCGUAGUCUGCGCCACUGGAAACAAUUUGGCCAUCAUCCGUUUUAAGACACGAGCAAUUAACAUGAACAUAUUAUCAUAAAAGCAUAUUCGUCGCCUCUCACAACUCUUGCAACAUGAUUCUCAUACGAUGACACAUAGGUAUGAGCCAUUGCAAUUUCGAUUAUCUUGAACUUAAUAGAUGCUUGCAAUUUCUUGAUCGUAGUAAUUUGACUUACGAAACUUUUAAUAGGUGCAUGCAGUUUUGAUAGGGACCGUUGUGAUAUGAUUUGUUGUAUAAUAAUUCUAAAGACAAUUAAUUGCAUUUAUAAAAAAUAUUUUUUCCACAUGUUUGUUAUAUAUUAGCAAGUCUCACGUGCAUUGCACGCGAUUACACGUGAUUUUACUUAAUAUAUUAUUUAGGAUUAAUUAAUAAAAGUUACAUAUUAUAUUGACAAAAAAAUAUUUUUAAAUAACAUCAAAUAAGUACAUAACUUCAUGUUCUACUUAUGUAAGCGUAUGAUGAAAGGGAAAAUUACAGUUUAUGUCCCUAAACUUUACCACUAAAACGAUUUAUGUCCUCAAAUAUUUCAAUCUACGAAAUAUGUCCUCAAACUUGCCACUUUUGAUCAUUUUAUGUUCUGCCGUUAACGUCGGCAGCUAACUUCUACGGAAAUAGCACGCGUGGCUCACGUGACUUUAACGGAAAUAGAAAAUUAUAACCCCUUAUAAUUUUCUAUUUUGGCAUUUUCCCCCUAAAAGUUUAGAAGAAGAGAUAAACCCCCCUAGAAAUAUUGAUUUGGUUGCACUUUGCCCCAAAAGUCAAUUUUCGGUGGGCAUUGUGCAACAAAAAUAACAUUUUAAAGGGGCAAAAUGUAAAAAGAGUGUUUUGAAGGGACAACGUACAACAAAAAUCACAUUUAAAGGGCAAUGUGCAAAAAAAAACCACACUCAAUUCCGAUUAAUAAUCCAUCGGAAUUUUAUUAUCGAGGCAAUGUGCAACAAGUAACAUUUUGAAGGGGGACAUUCACUUUUUUAAAUUUUGAGGGGGUAAAGUGCGAGAAUUAAAAAUUUAUAGGGGGUGACAUGCAAUUUGCCCUUUUUUUCUCUCUCUCAACGCAAUAGGGAUGUUUAAGCCAAUAGGAAUAUUGACACAACAGAAUCUGCGUUCAGUGAAUUUAGUCAAUCCCAUUAGUUCCAAUGGACUUUAAUUGGGAAUAUUAAUCUUCCAAAUUUAGCUGAGAAGUUUUUUGCACGAAAUUUAGUGGUCCUUUAAUUAGUUUAUUAUUUGGAACGAGUGUGCUUUGAUGCUCGGCUAGUUGAUCUUUACAAAACAUCAGUGUCAAUGAACUGGGCGGGCCACACCUCAUUAUACGAUCUAUGGUAUAUUAAUGCCCGCAUGGGUGUAGCUUAACUGGUUCCGGAGGUGGUAAGUUGGUGCAAGGUCCUAGGAUCGAAUCCUGGCAGCCGCAGUGUGGGAAUUUCAACUCCAAUGAGUUGGUUCCUUGUGGGCACCAGGUCCGGGUCCGCUACCUUAACGGACCGUUGAGUUACCAUGAUUUACAUUCCUCCAUCAAUCCUUGUCGGGCCAAGGGAUGGGGGCCCUGGGGGCGAGGGAUUUCGCCUUUUGGUGCAAGCUAUGGUAUAUUAAGAUGACCACCUCAUUAUUUUACAGAUAUGCUAAUUUUCUUGUGCCCAUUGAAUGAUGAUAGAAAACGUGCAUGCUUCGUUCGAUGUUCGAACGAGCACUAAGUUCCCUUCUACAUGAUGAAUCCGCUGAGGUACGUAUGUACAUUCAGUCUUCUAUUUAUUCACUUCGUUGUUGCAAUUUAGUUGCUAUCGUUCUGCAGUGUUUACAUAUAUUGAAUUUUCGAUUUAGAUACUUAGCGUGCCAUUUGAUAUUCCAUUGUCUCAAAUAUAACUUCGAAAAACCAUUUUGGAGUACCUGAAAAAAUUAUCAGAUAAUUGCUGUUAAGAUUCUUAAAUAAGACUGUAAGGUUUGUAGAAAUCGAACCUUCAUAAUGAAUUCCUAACAAUAAAAUAUUCGUUUAGACAUUUUUUUUCUUCUUCUAAUCGUACAAUAAAUAUGUUAUCUUUUCAUACAAAAUACAUAUAACCAUUAGUAAUAGUACCUUUUGGUAAUUGGUACUUCAAAUGUCGUAAAAAACAAAAGUGAUAAUUGGUUAACUAUGCUGACGUAGGAUAAAAGAUGUUUUACAUGUUUUUCUUUUCUUUAUCUAUUUUUUUUUUUUAUUUUGGAAUAUUUUAUUUACAUGCCGCACGUAGAAUCUGCAUGAUCGAAAAAUUGUUUCUUUAUUUGUCAGAAUCAUAAACAAUUUCACUUUUUUUUCAUAGGUUGUAAUUGAGUUGGAUCUUCAGGUAAAGUUUAUUUAUGUGCUUGGUUAAAUACUUUUUAGAUCGGAAUAAUUACAGUUUUGGCCGCCCAAGUUUGCACGUUUUUCACUUUUGGUCCCCCAUUUACCGCCGUCAACAAAAUACACACUAAUGUUGUCACAUUUGAUCACAUUUAGUCCCUCCUUCUGUUUUAAGUAACGGUCAACUGUAGAAUUAGAUCUGAAUUUAGGAUUUUUCAUAGAUAAAAAAUGCACUCAGACCCCUGCAUUCUUUUAAAAUAUUCUAAAAACCCCUAAAAUUUUAUUCAACCCUAAUUUAACCUCAAUUUCAUCAUUUAAUCAAUUUUGACAAACGACCCCAAUUUUUAACACCAUUACGCUGACCGUUGACCGCCGUUGAUUUUUUUUACUUUUUCUUCGGCAUUGACUUUUUUUAUUUAAUAUUGAUUUUGAUGUUGUUCACCAACACUGUAUUCUCAGUUAACAAUGUUGACUUUUUUUAUUUUUCUUCAUUUUUUAUGAACUUUUUCCUGUGACGUUUUUUUCCGAACAACACAAUCACUACAAGAAAAUGUAAAAUAGGCAACGAUUUCUACAUCGACGAAAUUAAUUUUGUUGCCAAUGGUUAUAUUUUAGCAACGAAAUAUAGUAUUUGUUGCUAAAGAUUAACAUUUUUGUAACAAGAUAUUUUUGUUGCCUUUGAAUCUCAUAGGCAACGAAAUAUAUUGUUGUGAAUAGUAUUAUAUAUAUUUUUCAACGAAUUUCAUGUAAGACAACAACUUGUUUUGUUGCAAAAGAGUAUUUCUUUUUGCUACGAUAUAAAAUUGUAGUAAAUACAUUUACAACGGCAACAAAUUUAUGUUGUCACUAGUAUGUGACGAAAGACUACAAAAUCUUUUGUAAAUGCUCCAAGAGAUUUGACAACAAAAUAUAAUCGUUGCCAAUUUAAAAACCAACUUUUUUUCUUGAUUUUAAUUUACUGUAUAUGUUAUUAAAUCAAUACAUAUAUAUACAUAUUAUAUAUAAUAAAAUAUUAUAAAAAAAAUCUUAUUUGUUUAUAUUAUAACUCAUGCAUAUUUUUAUAUUUAAUUAAAUCAAGUGCUUAUAUGUUUUAAAAAUUUAUUAUAUACACAUUUAUUAAUAAGAGAGAAUUCAUAAUAGAUGUUAUAUUCAGAAUUGAAUUCUAUUGUAAAUUUUACUUUUUUGAACAUAAAAGACAUAUAAUAUUAUUUAUUUAUAUAAUUUAUUUGACAUUAGUUAUAUAACUAUUUUAAUCAUUUUACCUUAUCUAUUUAGUUUUUAUAAAUUUAUUUGAAGUCUAUUUACAUAAAUGUACUGUUGCCCUAGCGGUUGGAGGGCUCUUUAACUUUGAAAUCAACCAGGGUUCAAAUCCUUAAUUUGUCAUGCUUACAUAUAAUGAUAUUUAUCAAGCGGGUCCAGUUGGGCCAGCCCUGAGUUCGAUCCAAUAGUUCUGAUUCCGAACAGGGUCGGGUGUGAUGGAUGUGGGUUGGGGCCCUGAGUUCGAUCCAAUAGUUCUGAUUCCGAUCAGGGUCGGAUGUGAUGGAUGUGGGUUGGGUUGGGUCAAUCGAUGGGGGGGUCGGAUGGAUACGAAACCGGACCAGUGGUAUAUUGUGUUGUCUAUUUACAUAUCUUUUGCAAUGAAAUAAAUUCGUUGCGUAUACUAAAUACAUUGGCGACGAAAUAAAUUUGUUGUCUAUAAUGAAUGUAUUGGCAACGAAUUAUAGUUUGCAACGGAACAAAUUCAUUUUGGAUAAUAAACGUAUUAGCAACGAUAUAUUUUGGGUGACGAAAUAGAUUCGUUGGCUAUAAUAAUGUAUGCACAACGAUUUUUUUAUUUUCGUUGCCAUGAACUUUCUGCAACGCGGAUUUGAAAACGAACAUGGCAACAAACAAAAUUCGUUGCGAAUUAUAUUGGCAACGAAAUUUUGCUCAGCAACAACAAAAUAUUUCGUUGUCAAAUAUAAAAUUUCUUGUAGUGAAUUACUGUAUAACACAAUAAUAAUAUUAUAUUAAUAUCUAGUAUCGUAAUAUUAAAAUUACAAACUUCCAACAAAGUUUUUAUCUAAAAUUCAAGGGCCUAAAUACAAUUUAAAAAAAAUUCUAAAAUCCAUAAUUUUUUCCCCUCAAUUUUUUCUUCGUGGAACCGUCAUUACAUCCCAAAUUUCUUCCCAAAAAAAUAUGAAAAAUAUGAAUUAGGCAUGUACGGAGUAAUUUGGAAUGAGAUAACCACUCUAGUACAACGGUUUUUGGGGCUAACACCGGCCGUUAAUUUUCAUCUUUUUUUUUUUGUCUUAAAUUUCUUCCGUUAUUGAGAUGCGGUGAGUUUUUCCUUUUUUCUUUAUUUUGACUUUUUUUUAUGAUAUUAUUUUCUUGCCGAUUAUCAGCUUUGAAUUUUUUUAAAUUAUAUUUUCCAUUACUCAACAAUUUAAAUAAAAAAAAAUCAAGAAAAAAAAUGUCAGCGCUGUUAACCCGACAUUCAAACAUCGGUCAACAGCGGCAAAAAAAAUCAAUCGAAAAAAGAGUCAACCGAGUUAAAACAAAAGUCAACGUCGGAUUAUCCAAUUUUGAAAAAUCGGAUUCAUUGGUUAAAAUUGGUUAAUUGAUGAAAUUUGGAUUAAAUUAUGGUUGGAUAAUUUUUUAGAGGUUUUUAGAGUAUUUUGAAAGAAUACAGGGGUCUUAUUGCAAAUUUCUCAAAGAAAAACCCCAAAUUCAACCGUUGACCGAUACUACUCAACGGUCAAACAAACGGAGGGACCAAAUGUGUUAUAAUGUGACAACAUUAAUGUGUAUUCUGUUGACGGCGGUAAAUGAGGGACCAAAAGUGAAAAACGUGCAAACUUGAGGGACCAAAACUGUAAUUAUCUCUUUUAGAUCUAAAUAAAUCUCCAUUAAAUCUUUAUUUACGGAUCAUUGAAUUUGUCAAAUGGGACGAAUACUGUUUUUAUUAUGACAAUUUUGAUCCCAGGUGGAGUCGUAUGUCAGAGUGAUGUUUGUCUCGAAGAAUAAGGCGGAUACAUAGACGUAUGAGUUAUAUUUUUGGAUUUAUCUUAAAUAUGUAAAAAUAAAAAGGGCUUAUUGUAAUGACCCUUGUAUAAUGGGGGAGUUUUGUCAAAUUUUUCUAAUUAAUUAAUACAGUAAUAUUAUUGUUUCAGACGGUUAAAUUACUGUUGGAGACAGUAAUUUAGAACACAAGACAGUAAUAUUAAUUAAAAUAAUUUUUUUCAAGAAAAAACAAAAUUUCAAAAAAGAAAAGUCAAUUAACAGUUAAAUUACAGUCUCCAACAUUUAAAUAACUGCUGGAGACAGUAAUUUAGCAACGAAGACAGUAAUAUUAAUUAAAAUAUUAAAAAGAAAAAGUCAAUUAAGAGUUAAAUUAUUGUCUCCGACUAUUAAAUAACUGCUGAAGACAGUAAUUUAGCAGCCAAGACAGUAAUAUUAAUUAAAAUAUUUGUUUAAGAAGAAAAAAAGGUCAAUUAAAAGUUGAAAUACUGUCCCCGACAGUUAAAUAACUGCUGGAGACAGUAAUUUAGCAGCCAAGACAGUAAUAUUUAUUUUAAUAUAUGUUUUUAAGAAAACUCAAAAAAAAAAAAAGGUCAACGCCGGAGACCUGACGGUAAACGGUGCUUGACCUACCGAAAAAAAUUUCGGAAAAAAAAAGUUUAAAAAAAAAAAAAGUCAAUGCCAGAGACCGGCGGUCUCCGUUGGUGGCGGGUCAAAAUUGGUUAUUUGGUGAAAUUGGACUAAAUUAGGGUGUAAAUCAUGAAAUUGAAGUUGAAUUGAGUUUCAAUGAAUUGGGGGUAAUUUUGGUAUAUACAAAAGAGUUUUCCUUAUUUGCAAAUAAGUUUGAAUGAACUGAAAAUAUUUAAAAGACAAAAACGUUGGAUGUCCAUUUUUAAUUAAGUGCCAUUGUCAGGGUGGACCUAUUUGCCAUUUGCCCUUUGUUUUAUUGUUAUUAUUAUAUAUAUAUAUAUACUAGUCUCGAAGCACCGCACAAGGUGCGGUGUCGGUGCCCAGUUAAUUUCUUCAUAAGGUAUAAAUUUUGAUUUCUUUCGAACUCUUGAAUAUUUGCUUGAGGGAGCAAUACCUCAAUCUUUUCUUCGUAGCAUCAAUUUAUGUUAGAUUAUUGUUAUAUGGUAUGGAAUGCAAUAUUAAAACCGGCAAAGUAUGGCUAAAUUUGUUCCAUAUCUUAUAGAGGAAGGACAACUGUCAUGUCAAGAAUUCAUGAAUUGAGAAAAAUAACGAGGUAAAACAGCUUCACAAGGCGGAAAUGAAAAUUUCCACAUACGGCGAAAACAAAUGUACAAGGGCAUCAAAAUCCAUACAAUAACACCUUAAAAUUUUAAAAACCUCCCGACGUACGCUUGGCAGCACCGAUGAUGCACUCUUGACGUGGCCAAUUGAGCAUGCACCCAUGCCAACCCUGUUUCACAAUUUAAGCAAAUAAACGCAAGACACGAGAAAGCAGACAAAUAAAUGUGACAUGUACGCUCAAAUAAGCGGGCAAACGAUUCAACGAAAUACAUGCGAACACCUAAAUAACUAACAAUUGAAAGGUAAAUUACAAAAUAGCUAAAAACUGAAAGUGAGAACCAAAACAUAUGCUCCCCAACGCACCUAUCAAGAUUAUUUAUUUCAAUUUCAGUAGCAAUUCAAACAGUAGAAAACAUAAAAUAAAUUCGUUGAAGCAAUUUAAUAAAGGAUAUUUCAUUUCAUUUACCCAGAAUUGAGGGAAGGGAAACUUUAUUUUCCUCCUUUCUUGCUGAACUCCCAUAAUGGAUGUAUCAAGCUCCAUCAGAUGAUUACACUCUCGUGCACAAAUAACAGAGAUUUCACUAUUUAUAUAGAAUGUCGAUGAAUCAAUCUCCUGCAAAAUGCCUACUUUAUUCUCAUGCACUUGUACAGUAAGUACCUCACCAAACUUCUGAAACAUGUGCUUCUUCAAGUACAUUCUCUCAACUUUUUCUCUACCUUUUAAUCCUAUUUAUUGCCUUGCUUUUGAAUUCUCGAGCAAGAAUUGAAGAUUGUUCGCAAGAAUUCGGACCCCCCGGCCUACCUAAAGGAUGAAGAUCGGUUAUAUUGUGUAAUUGUGUUCAACAAUCUCUCUUGUUCCUCCAGAAUCAGUUCCGAGCACCUGUAUCACCAAAAACACUCGCCCCUUCAUAGACAGCUCAUGGAAGAUCCAGUCAUGGCGAGUGGAGCUCCAGUCAUAGACAGCUCAUGGAAGAUCAAAACAAACUUUCUUGACCAAACUAAACGAGCAAAAGCUCCCUUCCUAUAUCACAAGUACCCGACACUCCACUCCAAAAUUGAGUCCUCUACAGAUCCAAACGGGCCCACAAGAAAUACGUAAGUCGUAUUUUUCUUCGGUAUUAUUUCCUCUGUUUGCAAAUCAACUUCACUUUCCACUUCGUCUGCAAUCAUCGUCUUUGGCUUACUACUGACUGGUCUCUUCCUACGUAGAGAUCUCCUACUCCUCAUCGAGGGCUUGUUUUUAUCCAAUGUAGUGUUCUUCGCAAGAACCACAUCCACAAUACUUUUACUCAACUGCCACAGAAUCGACUUUAGCAAUUAAGUCCCUCCUCCGAUUCUUGAUCUGCGGUUCGGAUUUAUCACCGCCCGAUUCGCCGCUAUAGCCACCGCUGAAGAGAUCUUCCUUGUUGUCACCGUGUGCCCAUUUCGACUGGAAAUAGAAUCCGGUGUAAGCCCAAACCAAAGGACAAUGCGGUUACUUCUAAGACAGUGAGAGCUAAACACACCGCUACGUGCUUCUCUUCUAGGAGUUUGGCCCGAGUUUAAUCUCCUGGAAGAAGGGGAACCCCUCGGACUUAAUUUCCCCGACGAUGAUGACUUCAAGCCGCCGCCACCACCACCACCACCGCUGCCUCCCCCAGGCCUCAGUGGUGAUAGCCUAACUAAAGUUUCUUCAUCCAUCUCAAAAAAUUAUCAAUUACCAAGGCUUAUAUAAUAUUUCAACAAAAUGAACCUAUAUACACAAUCACCAAAGAAACCACCCCCAAAAGAAUUCUUCAACUCAAAAUCCAAGAAACACCGCUAGAGUUGGUUAUUUCCUGCACCAGAAAAUCAAAGAUUUCUUUCAAAAAAAUAAAAAUUGAAAACAUUUGCUACCUAAACGGCGCCGUUCUUUUAUUUUCCUCCAAUCCCAUGGCAGCAUUCUUUUCUUUUUGUUUAAUUUCGGAAGCAGCUCGAUUCCGAAAAUCGUCGGUGUGGCCCCGUUUUCUCAAUUUAUUUUCGCUUUUCUUUCUUUUUUCAUUCUCCAAUCGGGAGGCAGCAGACUUGGGGAGAACAUCUUCUCUCACCUCUAUCGCCGGCGCCGCUUCUCUCAAAAGUUCCUGCACUACCGCCAUGCGAUAGCCGACCACGAGAGGCAAUCGAGAGGGGUCACCGCUUCCGGCGUCGACGAGCAUAAACACCGCCGCCUCUGCCGCCUACACGGACGACAACCUUUAUGUAGUAUGUGCAUUCCCCCAUUUUUCUGCCCCCACUUCAGUUUCCUUUUUUAAAUUGAACAUUUGAUUGACCGUCGGAGCGGGGGAGUCCCCGGUCACAGGGGAUCACAAACCGGUUCCGCGUAGGUGGAAGAAGAGGCGGCGUUGAUUUCCGGCGACGUUGGAAUGACCGAGCCUCUCUUGCGGCGCGUUGGCGGCGGCUGUGCAGGAGCCUAUGACGGCGGCAGAAUAGUCAGAGAGAGAUGUGAGGGGAGAUGUCGUCCGAAUGGGGGAGAAGAAAUAGUUAUUGAUGAUGGGGAGGGCAGGUCAAUAAUUGUAGGCGGAGAAGAAUUAGAGAAGAUAAAAGAAAAUCCAAAAAAAAAUUAGCAGGUCGAUCGUGCAUUUGCUGAAAGAAAAAGAAAAAGAAAAGAAAGGGGAGAUAUGAUUUGUGGGAAUUGAUGGAACGACGUCGUUCCAGAUUAAAAGUGGCAAAAUAAAAAGCGGAAAAAAAUAGGGGGGCCAAGAAAGGGGGUUAUCAACAUAUAUAUAUACUUAAUAUAUAUAUAUAAGUAAGAGCAACUCCAAUAGUAAACAUCAAAAUUGGAUUAUCAAGUACUCAUUUGAUAAUUAAGAUAAUAUUUUAAUAUCCAUCUACAUUUUGUCUACUCGAACCAUAAUUAUCAAAAUUAAUAAUCAAUUGGAAGUUUUUUAGUGGUUUUAUUUGUAAUUACCACGUGUUAUUUUUUGAUUGGAUGUUUAUGUAGUUAUUUUUUGAUAAUUCAAUUUUUCAGGAUGUAUUUUUUCAUACAAAGAGGUAGAAUAUCAAAAUAUUUGUCCAUUUUGAUACUCCCGUUGGAGUAGAAAAUUUUAAUUUUAGGAUAUCAAAAAGGUAGUUUAUGGGUUUGAUAAUCCAUUUGAUACUCCUUUGGAGUUGUUGCUCUAAUUCCCCACAAACUAUAAUCAAACAUUGUUCUUUUUUUGAAACUGACGCAGAACAGAAGCACAAAAGGAAUUAAUUUCUACGAAUUAAUUCUAUAGAACACGAUAACUCUGGAAUCCACCAGAUAAUUGAGAGAAAACUCAGAAAUCUUAUUAAUAAUUAAAGAUGCUGAAAAAUAAACUCUAGAGCAACUAUUUAUACUAAAGAAAACGAAAAACCCGAAUCAAACUAGGAAAACGAGACAAUUGUCAAAAAAGGCAAAAAAACAAAAUAACUUCUAAACCUAGUAGAAUACCGAAAAUUUGAAACAUGUCAACUUGCGGAUUUCUAAUCCGAAUUUUCUAGCAUUAAUUAGGAAUUAUUUUGAAGGCCCAAACGAUCUCGAAACACCAAAAUCCAGCGCACGUUAAAUCAAUGUUAAAUUACGAAAAACUCAUUCAUGUUUGGGUAAUUACAACCACCCUACUUAUGUAUUGUCUUGCACGUCUAAUCUUACGGUGUCAAAUUUACUUCCUGAAAAAUGGUUUUUUUUGGUAGAGACUACAUAUGUGAAGGGUGUAGUUAUAAUUGUUUAAAUAUAAGGGACUUUUUCGUAAUUUGACCUUACCUCAAGGGUUGACCGUAAUUUGCCCUUAUUAGAAACAAGUGCAGUUCCCCCUUUAAAACGAGGUAGCUUUUAAGUACAAAACUAAACCUAAAUUCCCAAAUCAAAUAGCCCUAAUUCAUCACAAGAUUCAUAUCUCAAACUAAAUGCAAACAUUUAGAAAAUAAAAUGUAAUGAAUUCCCAAAGUUACGAAUGGGUCUUCAUCUCUAUCAAUCGGACUCUGAGGUACGAAUUUCUACUCUCUCUCUCUCUCUCUCUCUCUCUCUCUCUACCAUUCAAGUCAAAGCGAAUUAAAAAUUCAAUUAUUUGUUGAUUUCUUUUUCCCAGUUUCAUGUACGUUAUACAUAUGAAAAAUGAAAUGUUUAUUGUAAUGUAGAAAUAGUAGAUACUACUAACGGGUUUUGAGUUGUGAUUUUUACGAGUCGUUACAGAAAAUAUAAUUUAUCUUUUUCCUUUAUUCAGAAAAUCUAUGCUGAACUAAAUUUCCGAUUGAAUGAUGAUAUAAAAGUCCGUGCUUUGUUUGAACGAGCACUAAGUUCUAUUUAUUCACUCUGUUUUUGCUUUAGUUGCUAUCGUUCUGCAGUUUGUUUACAUAUAUCGAAUUUUCGAUUUAGAUACUUAGGGGCCGUUGAUCGAUAUGAACGAGUGUGAAACAGAAACAUGAUUAAUUUUAUAAAAAAAUUGUACGUUAAUACUUUUAUUUGCAUGUAGCUUUAUUUUGAUAUAUUUUGCAAACAAACUUAUGUAUUUUAUCCAGGCUACAUGUUUUCAGAAAUAUAUACUAUCCGAAAAGAGGUGAGAAGUAGAAUCUUACGUAACAUAAUUUUGAGCACGCUGUGGCUAAACUUCGCUUUUAAUUUCUCCCCUUUUCUUUUUAUAAUUAUAUAUUGUUUCUAACCCGCUCUCUGUAUAAUAUAUUAGAAUAUAAAACGUAUAUGAUCACUUUGGAAUAUUUGAUUUACAUGCAGCACAUAUAUUCUGCACGAUCGAAAAAUUGUUUUUUCAUUUGUCAGAGUCAUAAUCAAUUUCACUUUUUAGAUCUAAAUAAAUCUCAAUUUAAUCUUUAUUUACGGAUCGUUGAACUUGUCAAAUGAGAUGAAUACUGUUUUUAUUACAACAGUUAUGAUCCGAUUCUCCUCCCAUCGCAAAUUGCUGUUUGUCUCGAAGAAUAAGGCGGAUACAUAGAAGUAUGAGUUAUAAUAUACGAUGGUACGUAUCUGAAUUUAUCUUGUACAUUUUCAUAAGAUUGUCUUCAAGUAGUGUCUAAAAUUUAACUUUUUUAUGUAUGCAACAUUUUAAAUUAAAAGAAUGCGUUUAUUCAUCGUCACUUUCUAGAUGCCAAAUAGAAAAUCGUCUCUUUAUUUUUUUGGAAAUCAGUACAAUUCUUGUUGUACCUCGUUUUAUUAUUUACUAGCAUUUUUCCCCGUGCGAUGCACGGUAUCGAAUUUUAAAAUUGAAAAAAAAUAAUCAAUUUAACAAAUUGAAUUUCUAUCUUUAUUUUUUAUGAUUUGGGAUAUAUUGAUGAAAAACAGGAGGUUGAAGUAUUUUUCACGAUUCAUCAGUUUGAUAAUUGUUGAAAAUAUAGUUAAAAUUAGUAAAAAAAAAAAAAAUUAAAAAUAACUAAUUACAGAAAUGUAAUUAGGGUUUUUUAGGGUUGCCCAGCGUUUCUUUCUUUUAUAUAUAAGAUAACUGUUAGCUGCCAUAAGUAAAAAUAACUAGUGCUGCUCGACUCAUUUGACGAAAUGAAUGUUAACGACUGGUUUUCAUUAUGAUCUAUAUACAUAUUCGUCCACAAUAAACACGUAUACCAAAACAAAUAUUAGAUGCAUGCUCUAAAGAAUUCUUAUUAUAAUUAUUAUAUAUAAUAAUGAUUUUUUGUAAUUGAUUAAUUGCUCCCUAUUGUAGAAUGCAUUGGUCACCAAUAAAUGCUGAUAAUAAAUGCUGAUUUUUGGAUUUUAGCUAUAAGAUUUUUGAUAUAUGGUGCCCAAUUUUAUGAAUUUUCAAGCAAUCGGAUUUGUAUGUUUCCAGUCAAGCAAAAGAAGGUCAAAAAAGGAAAAUGAAAAAUAGUAAUGAAGGAAAAAUAAUAUGUAAAAAGAAGAAUAAAUAAAUGGUAGAAUAUCUGGAUUUGUGAAGAAUUUUAUUACAACUUAUACGAGAAGUACUCGUAACGAUGUUGCAUGGGGUCUUGAAAUAGAAGAUGACAAAUAUGUACAUAAACACGCGCGUAAUUGUUUAGUAUUUAGGGUUUAGGGUUUUUGAUUCGUAAAAUAUAUGUAUGUACGUGUACAACUAUAUACGUACCGUACGAUAUGUAUAUGCGUAUACAUGCCUAAUUUAGCCAUCCCAAACUCCGUUUCCACAUUAUUCUCGAACAAGUUUGUCGAAAUUAAAAUGAAGCUUCAAUUAGAGUUCGUCUGCUUUUCAUCAUGUAAAAUAUUUUAAUUUUAUAUUAUUUGCCAACUUUUAUGUAUUUGUUAUUUUGUUUAUAAUUCAAAUAAUGUUUUAAAUGCUGUAGCUAGUCAUGGAAAUAAUUCAAAAACACACACGAAAUUAUUUACCAAAUUCAUCUUUUCAGAUUUCGUAAUAACUAUCUCUUGACUUUCCUCCCAUUUCAGUCUAGAUUUUGCAAAACCAUUCCUCGAUUCUAUUCUCGUAUUUGCUAAAUCUAUAAUUAAUUUCUUAUUAUGUUGUCAACCAAGACAAGAACUUCAUCUAUUUAACCUCGUUUUCAUUUCGAUUAUUUCUCACUCUCUCAACAUCUUCAAGCCCUUCAUUGCAUCUACGAUUUUUUUUUUCGUUUUUUUCGAAAUAUUUUGUAUAAAAUUUAAAAUGUCACAUGUACGUGGGAGUAAAAAAAAUCCAUCAGUGGACGAGCGCCCCGUAAUUUUGG
Molecule: long non-coding RNA, 27399 nt
Filed under: Erythranthe guttata (spotted monkey flower)
Lineage: Eukaryota; Viridiplantae; Streptophyta; Magnoliopsida; Lamiales; Phrymaceae
Description: long non-coding RNA (EGUT_LNC000631)
Source: RNAcentral